RNAcentral lists this long non-coding RNA (1081 nucleotides) under Anas platyrhynchos platyrhynchos (common mallard). RNAcentral's name for it is "lncRNA (ENSAPLG00000026280.1)". Lineage: Eukaryota; Metazoa; Chordata; Aves; Anseriformes; Anatidae. The record is from RNAcentral.
UCCCCAAGCCCCCAUGUAACGUCCCCAAGUCCCCAUGUGAUGUCCCCAAGCACCCACAAAAUAUCCCAAAGAACCCCCCCAACAUCCCCAAGCCCCCCCCACAACGUCCCCAAGUCCCCCCCCAAACGUCCCCGCGCCCCCACCUGGCGAGCAGCAGGCGCAGGACGUCGUGGGGCUGGGUGAAGGCACGGAAGGUGGCGAGGAAGGUGGGGACGAAGGCUCCGUCCCCGCGGGCGGGGGCCUCCAGCAGGUGCCGCACCAGGCGGGGCAGGGGGGCGGCGCGCAGCAGGCGGGCGGGGGGCGCCCCGGGCCGGGGGGCCAGGGUGAAGACGGCGUCGUCCUCGCGCACCUCCGCCUGGGGGGGGUCCUCGUCGGGGGGGCAGGGCCGGUAGGAGCUGAGCACCACCCCCGGCUCCUGGCCCAGGGGGGGCCGGGCCCCCUCCAGCAGCGCCCGCAGCGCCCGCGGGAGCAUGGGGCGCCCCACGGCUCCGACCCACGGCUCCGACCCACGGCGUGGUCAGCCCCACGGCACGGGCAUGGCGGGGGGGGGGGGCCUGGGCGAGAGGGGGGGCCCUCAGCACCCACUGGCUGCCCCACAGCAUCCCAGUGGUGCUCCCAGUGCUCCCAGUGCUGUCCCACAGCAUCCCAGUAGUGUUCCAGUGCUUCCAGUGCUGCCCCAUAGCAUCCCAGUGGUGCUCCCAGUGAAGUCCCAUAGUAUCCCAGUGGUGCUCCCAGUGCUGUCCCAUAGCAUCCCAGUGCUCCCAGUGCUGCCCCCCAGUGCUCCCAGUGCCUCCCUGCAGCUCCCUCUCGAGCCUCCACCCCCGGUCCCUGCGCCCAGUACCCCCAGUACCCCCAGUCCCGUACUCCCAGUCCCAGCCCCCCGUGCUCCCCCAGUCCCUGCUCCCAGUAACCCCGUCCCUCACCCCCAGUGCUCCCAGUACCUCCCAGUGCCUGCUUCCAGUCUCCCCAUUCCUCUUCCCAGCAACACCGCUUCCUGUUCCCAGCGCUCCCAGUCCCCGCUCCCAGUCCCCGUCCCCUCAGCCCCCUGCUCCCAGUGCUCCCAGUUCUCCCAGUCCAAGCU